This is a non-coding RNA of Naematelia encephala, 86 nucleotides long. NCBI's taxonomy places the organism in Eukaryota, Fungi, Basidiomycota, Tremellomycetes, Tremellales, Naemateliaceae. The record is from the annotation of a GenBank genome assembly.
GGGCCCGUAGCGUAGUGGUUAUCGUGUCUGCUUUGGGUAGACAUCUUUAUUGCAGAAGGUCCCGCGUUCGACUCGCGGCGAGCCCC